AAAGGCCUAAGGGGUGAUGCUACAACUCUUAUCAACAACUUACAUGAAAUACUAAUAAUAAUAAUAAUAUUAGUUAGGUAUUUCUAAUUAAUAAUAUAAUUAAAUUUUUAAAAUUUUAAUUAUUUAUUUUUACAUUUAAUAAUGAUUAUUAUUAUGUAAAUUAUAAUUAACAUGUAAGAAAAAAGAGCCCAAGUUCAUUUUUUUUACUGGGAAAAUAACUGCAACUCCAUAAAAGAAAAAAAAAAAAACGCUUUGUGUGCUAAUUAAACGUUAAAAAAAUCUCUUAAAAAUUACCACUAUAUAACCAUAUAGAUUAAUAAUACCUUUAUUAUAUUUAAGCAGAUAGGACCGG
Molecule: long non-coding RNA, 352 nt
Filed under: Vigna radiata
Lineage: Eukaryota; Viridiplantae; Streptophyta; Magnoliopsida; Fabales; Fabaceae
Description: long non-coding RNA (VRAD_LNC009323)
Source: RNAcentral